Small nuclear RNA from Homo sapiens (human), 94 nucleotides. NCBI's taxonomy places the organism in Eukaryota, Metazoa, Chordata, Mammalia, Primates, Hominidae. The record is from Ensembl.
GUACUCACUUCAGCAGCACAAACACUAAAAUCGGAAUGAUACAGAGAAGAUUAGCAUGAAUGACAUGCAAAUUCGUGAAGCCUUCCGUAUUUUC